RNAcentral lists this ribosomal RNA (429 nucleotides) under Bacteroidota bacterium. Its description in RNAcentral is "Bacteroidetes bacterium partial 16S ribosomal RNA". It matches the Rfam family "Bacterial small subunit ribosomal RNA", at positions 355 to 776 of the family's 1533-position model. The record is from RNAcentral. Lineage: Bacteria; Pseudomonadati; Bacteroidota.
UAGGGAAUCUUCCGCAAUGGACGCAAGUCUGACGGAGCAACGCCGCGUGAGUGAAGAAGGAUUUCGGUUCGUAAAACUCUGUUGUUAGAGAAGAACAGCGCAUAGAGUAACUGUUAUGCGUGUGACGGUAUCUAACCAGAAAGCCACGGCUAACUACGUGCCAGCAGCCGCGGUAAUACGUAGGUGGCAAGCGUUGUCCGGAUUUAUUGGGCGUAAAGCGAGCGCAGGCGGUCAAUUAAGUCUGAUGUGAAAGCCCCCGGCUCAACCGGGGAGUGUCAUUGGAAACUGGUUGACUUGAGUGCAGAAGAGGAGAGUGGAAUUCCAUGUGUAGCGGUGAAAUGCGUAGAUAUAUGGAGGAACACCAGUGGCGAAGGCGACUCUCUGGUCUGUAACUGACGCUGAGGUUCGAAAGCGUGGGUAGCAAACAGG